RNAcentral lists this ribosomal RNA (498 nucleotides) under Sceloporus malachiticus. Its description in RNAcentral is "partial 16S ribosomal RNA". It matches the Rfam family "Bacterial large subunit ribosomal RNA", at positions 1817 to 2570 of the family's 2925-position model. Lineage: Eukaryota; Metazoa; Chordata; Lepidosauria; Squamata; Phrynosomatidae. The record is from RNAcentral.
AGCCUUUAGCCCACCAAGUAUUAAAGGUAGCGCCUGCCCAGUGAACCACUUCAACGGCCGCGGUAUCCUAACCGUGCAAAGGUAGCGUAAUCACUUGUCCCUUAAAUAGGGACCCGUAUGAACGGCUAAAUGAGGAUAAAUCUGUCUCCUUUAAUAAAUCAGUGAAACUGAUCUACCAGUACAAAAGCUGGUAUAUCCCCAUAAGACGAGAAGACCCUGUGGAGCUUUAAAUUUAAGCCAAGCAACCAAACAAGCACAGCUAAUGGCUAAAAAUUUUAAGUUGGGGCGACUUCGGAAAAAACCAAAACUUCCGAGCAUAAGACCUUGUCUUUACCAAGACCUACAAGUCAAAGCUAAACUUGACCCAGUACAACUGAUCACCGAACCAAGUUACCCCAGGGAUAACAGCGCAAUCUUCUUCAAGAGUCCAUAUCGACAAGUAGAUUUACGACCUCGAUGUUGGAUCAGGACACCCAAAUGGUGCAGCCGCUAUUAAAG